AGUGAACGCUGGCGGUAGGCCUAACACAUGCAAGUCGAACGGCAGCACAGUAAGAGCUUGCUCUUACGGGUGGCGAGUGGCGGACGGGUGAGGAAUACAUCGGAAUCUACUUUUUCGUGGGGGAUAACGUAGGGAAACUUACGCUAAUACCGCAUACGACCUACGGGUGAAAGCAGGGGAUCUUCGGACCUUGCGCGAUUGAAUGAGCCGAUGUCGGAUUAGCUAGUUGGCGGGGUAAAGGCCCACCAAGGCGACGAUCCGUAGCUGGUCUGAGAGGAUGAUCAGCCACACUGGAACUGAGACACGGUCCCGACUCCUACGGGAGGCAGCAGUGGGGAAUAUUGGACAGUGGGCGCAAGCCUGAUCCAGCCAUACCGCGUGGGUGAAGAAGGCCUUCGGGUUGUAAAGCCCUUUUGUUGGGAAAGAAAAGCAGCAGGUUAAUACCCCGCUGUUCUGACGGUACCCAAAGAAUAAGCACCGGCUAACUUCGU
Molecule: ribosomal RNA, 491 nt
Filed under: uncultured bacterium
Lineage: Bacteria
Description: partial 16S ribosomal RNA
Rfam family: Bacterial small subunit ribosomal RNA
Source: RNAcentral